GGCCAGUGAUGUUAAAAGAUAUUAUAUACUCUUGAUGGGAUUAUAUAUAAUCCUGUUUGAUGUUUUAUUAUCCACCAAGAUCUCUGAGGCC
Helianthus annuus (common sunflower) is the source of this 91-nucleotide non-coding RNA. NCBI's taxonomy places the organism in Eukaryota, Viridiplantae, Streptophyta, Magnoliopsida, Asterales, Asteraceae. The record is from Rfam.